Molecule: long non-coding RNA, 226 nt
Filed under: Nicotiana benthamiana
Lineage: Eukaryota; Viridiplantae; Streptophyta; Magnoliopsida; Solanales; Solanaceae
Description: long non-coding RNA (NBEN_LNC039722)
Source: RNAcentral
GCAGCUGCUGUUUUAAGCAUGAGGGCUCCAGAUGACUGCAGAUCUGUGUUUGCAUGGGGCAAAGUAUCAACAUCGUCAAUGGGUUUCAAUGAAACAGUACUACCCGAUUGUAGCUCAGUGUUAACAGAUUUUGGGGGAAUAGUGUUGUUAGCAUAGAUGGGCACCAGAACUUUUUUGGGUCUGCCUCUUCCUCUCGCCAUGGCAAUCUCAGUGUAGGUGAACUACA